This 409-nucleotide ribosomal RNA is filed under the name bacterium. Its description in RNAcentral is "partial 16S ribosomal RNA". It matches the Rfam family "Bacterial small subunit ribosomal RNA", at positions 355 to 776 of the family's 1533-position model. The record is from RNAcentral.
UGGGGAAUAUUGCACAAUGGGCGAAAGCCUGAUGCAGCGACGCCGCGUGAGGGAUGACGGCCUUCGGGUUGUAAACCUCUUUCAGCAGGGACGAAGCGCAAGUGACGGUACCUGCAGAAGAAGCACCGGCUAACUACGUGCCAGCAGCCGCGGUAAUACGUAGGGUGCAAGCGUUGUCCGGAAUUACUGGGCGUAAAGAGUUCGUAGGCGGUUUGUCGCGUCGUUUGUGAAGACCAGCAGCUCAACUGCUGGCUUGCAGGCGAUACGGGCAGACUUGAGUACUGCAGGGGGGACUGGAGUGCCUGGUGUAGCGGUGAAAUGCGCAGAUAUCAGGAGGAACACCGGUGGCGAAGGCGGGUCUCUGGGCAGUAACUGACGCUGAGGAACGAAAGCGUGGGUAGCGAACAGG